Molecule: ribosomal RNA, 448 nt
Filed under: uncultured bacterium
Lineage: Bacteria
Description: bacterial SSU rRNA
Rfam family: Bacterial small subunit ribosomal RNA
Source: RNAcentral
AGCGAACGCUGGCGGCAGGCUUAACACAUGCAAGUCGAGCGGGCGUAGCAAUACGUCAGCGGCAGACGGGUGAGUAACGCGUGGGAACAUACCUUUUGGUUCGGAACAACACAGGGAAACUUGUGCUAAUACCGGAUAAGCCCUUACGGGGAAAGAUUUAUCGCCGAAAGAUUGGCCCGCGUCUGAUUAGCUAGUUGGUGAGGUAACGGCUCACCAAGGCGACGAUCAGUAGCUGGUCNGAGAGGAUGAUCAGCCACAUUGGGACUGAGACACGGCCCAAACUCCUACGGGAGGCAGCAGUGGGGAAUAUUGGACAAUGGGCGCAAGCCUGAUCCAGCCAUGCCGCGUGAGUGAUGAAGGCCCUAGGGUUGUAAAGCUCUUUCGGCGGGACGAUAAUGACGGUACCGCAGAAGAAGCCCCGGCUAACUUCGUGCCAGCAGCCGCUAGU